RNAcentral lists this ribosomal RNA (1249 nucleotides) under Sesame phyllody phytoplasma. RNAcentral describes it as "bacterial SSU rRNA". It matches the Rfam family "Bacterial small subunit ribosomal RNA", at positions 153 to 1399 of the family's 1533-position model. Lineage: Bacteria; Bacillati; Mycoplasmatota; Mollicutes; Acholeplasmatales; Acholeplasmataceae. The record is from RNAcentral.
GAAACGACUGCUAAGACUGGAUAGGAAAUUAAGAGGCAUCUUUUAAUUUUUAAAAGACCUUUUUCGAAAGGUAUACUUAAAGAGGGGCUUGCGCCACAUUAGUUAGUUGGUAGGGUAAAGGCUUACCAAGACGAUGAUGUGUAGCUGGACUGAGAGGUCGAACAGCCACAUUGGGACUGAGACACGGCCCAAACUCCUACGGGAGGCAGCAGUAAGGAAUUUUUGGCAAUGGAGGAAACUCUGACCGAGCGACGUCGCGUGAACAAUGAAGUACUUCGGUAUGUAAAGUUCUUUUAUUGAAAAAGAAAAAAUAGUGGAAAAACUAUCUUGACAUUAUUCAAUGAAUAAGCCCCGGCUAAUUAUGUGCCAGCAGCCGCGGUAAUACAUAAGGGGCGAGCGUUAUCCGGAAUUAUUGGGCGUAAAGGGUGCGUAGGCGGUUUGAUAAGUCUAUAGUUUAAAUGCAGUGCUUAACGCUGUAGCGCUAUAGAAACUGUCUGACUAGAGUUAGAUAGAGGCAAGCGGAAUUCCAUGUGUAGCGGUAAAAUGCGUAAAUAUAUGGAGGAACACCAGAGGCGUAGGCGGCUUGCUGGGUCUUAACUGACGCUGAGGCACGAAAGCGUGGGGAGCAAACAGGAUUAGAUACCCUGGUAGUCCACGCCGUAAACGAUGAGUACUAAGUGUCGGGUUUCGGCUCGGUACUGAAGUUAACACAUUAAGUACUCCGCCUGAGUAGUACGUACGCAAGUAUGAAACUUAAAGGAAUUGACGGGACCCCGCACAAGCGGUGGAUCAUGUUGUUUAAUUCGAAGAUACACGAAAAACCUUACCAGGUCUUGACAUAAUUUUGCGACAUUAUAGAAAUAUAAUGAAGGUUAUCAGAAUUACAGGUGGUGCAUGGUUAUCGUCAGCUCGUGUCGUGAGAUGUUAGGUUAAGUCCUAAAACGAGCGCAACCCUUGUCGUUAGUUGCGACCACGUAAUGGUGAGCACUUUAGCGAGACUGCCAAUGAAAAAUUGGAGGAAGGUGAGGAUUACGUCAAAUCAUCAUGCCCCUUAUGAUCUGGGCUACAAACGUGAUACAAUGGCUGUUACAAAGAGUAGCUACAACGUGAGUUUUUAGCCAAUCUCAAAAAAACAGUCUCAGUUCGGAUUGAAGUCUGCAGCUCGACUUCAUGAAGUUGGAAUCGCUAGUAAUCGCGAAUCAGCAUGUCGCGGUGAAUACGUUCUCGGGUUUGUACACACCGCCCGUCA